UUCGGUGGUCAUAGCGUGAGGGAAACGCCCGGUCACAUUCCGAACCCGGAAGCUAAGCCUUUCAGCGCCGAUGGUACUGCAUGCGGGAGCGUGUGGGGAGAGUAGGACGCCGCCGAAC
Molecule: ribosomal RNA, 118 nt
Filed under: Streptomyces sp. GKU 257-1
Lineage: Bacteria; Bacillati; Actinomycetota; Actinomycetes; Kitasatosporales; Streptomycetaceae
Source: RNAcentral